GCGGUUUAAUCGGACUCAACGCCGGGAAACUCACCAGAUAAGACAGCUGAAUGAUAGUCGGGCUGAAGACUCUACUUGACUAGCUGAGAGGAGGUGCAUGGCCGUCGUCAGUUCGUACUGUGAAGCAUCCUGUUAAGUCAGGCAACGAGCGAGACCCACGCCAACAGUUGCCAGCUCGUCCUCCGGGAUGGUGGGGACACUGUUGGGACCGCCUCUGCUAAAGAGGAGGAAGGAAUGGGCAACGGUAGGUCAGCAUGCCCCGAAUUAUCUGGGCUACACGCGGGCUACAAUGGGUGGGACAAUGGGUAUCGACACCGAAAGGUGAAGGCAAUCUCCUAAACCCAUCCGUAGUUCGGAUUGUGGGCUGCAACUCGCCCACAUGAAGCUGGAAUCUGUAGUAAUCGUGUCUCAAAAUGGCACGGUGAAUAUGUCCCUGCUCCUU
RNAcentral lists this ribosomal RNA (442 nucleotides) under uncultured Methanomicrobiales archaeon. RNAcentral describes it as "bacterial SSU rRNA". It matches the Rfam family "Archaeal small subunit ribosomal RNA", at positions 897 to 1338 of the family's 1478-position model. The record is from RNAcentral. Lineage: Archaea; Methanobacteriati; Methanobacteriota; Methanomicrobia; Methanomicrobiales.